ACCGCACUUUAGUGUGUGUGGUGGAAAGUUUUUUCGGUACGAGAUGAGCCCGCGGCCUAUCAGCUUGUUGGUGGGGUAAUGGCCUACCAAGGCGUCGACGGGUAGCCGGCCUGAGAGGGUGGACGGCCACAUUGGGACUGAGAUACGGCCCAGACUCCUACGGGAGGCAGCAGUGGGGAAUAUUGCACAAUGGGCGCAAGCCUGAUGCAGCGACGCCGCGUGAGGGAUGACGGCCUUCGGGUUGUAAACCUCUUUCGACAGGGACGAAGCUUUUUGUGACGGUACCUGUAUAAGAAGCACCGGCUAACUACGUGCCAGCAGCCGCGGUAAUACGUAGGGUGCGAGCGUUGUCCGGAAUUACUGGGCGUAAAGAGCUCGUAGGUGGUUUGUCGCGUCGUCUGUGAAAUUCCGGGGCUUAACUCCGGGCGUGCAGGCGAUACGGGCAUAACUUGAGUGCUGUAGGGGAGACUGGAAUUCCUGGUGUAGCGGUGGAAUGCGCAGAUAUCAGGAGGAACACCGAUGGCGAAGGCAGGUCUCUGGGCAGUAACUGACGCUGAGGAGCGAAAGCAUGGGGAGCGAACAGGAUUAGAUACCCUGGUAGUCCAUGCCGUAAACGGUGGGCGCUAGGUGUGAGGGUCUUCCACGACUUUCGUGCCGUAGCUAACGCAUUAAGCGCCCCGCCUGGGGAGUACGGCCGCAAGGCUUCUACUCCAAGGAAUUGACGGGGGCCCGCACAAGCGGCGGAGCAUGUGGAUUAAUUCGAUGCAACGCGAAGAACCU
This 780-nucleotide ribosomal RNA is filed under the name Corynebacterium pseudotuberculosis. RNAcentral describes it as "bacterial SSU rRNA". It matches the Rfam family "Bacterial small subunit ribosomal RNA", at positions 179 to 971 of the family's 1533-position model. The record is from RNAcentral. Lineage: Bacteria; Bacillati; Actinomycetota; Actinomycetes; Mycobacteriales; Corynebacteriaceae.